GGGGAAUAUUGGACAAUGGGCGCAAGCCUGAUCCAGCCAUACCGCGUGGGUGAAGAAGGCCUUCGGGUUGUAAAGCCCUUUUGUUGGGAAAGAAAUCCAGCCGGCUAAUACCUGGUUGGGAUGACGGUACCCAAAGAAUAAGCACCGGCUAACUUCGUGCCAGCAGCCGCGGUAAUACGAAGGGUGCAAGCGUUACUCGGAAUUACUGGGCGUAAAGCGUGCGUAGGUGGUUAUUUAAGUCCGUUGUGAAAGCCCUGGGCUCAACCUGGGAACUGCAGUGGAUACUGGAUGACUAGAAUGUGGUAGAGGGUAGCGGAAUUCCUGGUGUAGCAGUGAAAUGCGUAGAGAUCAGGAGGAACAUCCAUGGCGAAGGCAGCUACCUGGACCAACAUUGACACUGAGGCACGAAAGCGUGGGGAGCAAACAGGAU
RNAcentral lists this ribosomal RNA (430 nucleotides) under gamma proteobacterium SCGC AAA028-B17. Its description in RNAcentral is "bacterial SSU rRNA". It matches the Rfam family "Bacterial small subunit ribosomal RNA", at positions 356 to 778 of the family's 1533-position model. The record is from RNAcentral. Lineage: Bacteria; Pseudomonadati; Pseudomonadota; Gammaproteobacteria.